Unclassified non-coding RNA from Erinaceus europaeus (western European hedgehog), 321 nucleotides. Its record names the gene 7SK. It matches the Rfam family "7SK RNA". Rfam says of the family: 7SK was discovered as an abundant small nuclear RNA in the mid-70s but a possible function has only recently been suggested. Two independent studies have found that 7SK RNA binds the CDK9/cyclin T complex (known as elongation factor P-TEFb). The record is from Ensembl. NCBI's taxonomy places the organism in Eukaryota, Metazoa, Chordata, Mammalia, Eulipotyphla, Erinaceidae.
GGAUGUGAGGGCAAUCUGGCUGCGACAUCUGUCACCCCAUCGAUCGCCAAGGUUGAUUCCGCUGAUCUGGCUGGCUAGGUGGGUGUCCCCUUCCUCCCUCACUGCUCCACGUGCGUCCCUCCUGAAGCUGCGCGCUUGGUAGAAGAGGAGGUCUUCCCCGAAUAGAGACGGACCAGUCUUCUGUGGAGGGUAUAAGAGUAGCUGCUCUUCCCUGCUAGAACCUCCAAACAAGCUCUCAAGGUCCAUAAAAUGUACUCUCCAGGACCCUCUAUGCCCUGAAUUCUCCCGCAACAAUGGACAAAUGAUACAUUUUACUCACAU